RNAcentral lists this transfer RNA (62 nucleotides) under Amblyomma fimbriatum (goanna tick). RNAcentral describes it as "tRNA-Tyr". The record is from RNAcentral. Lineage: Eukaryota; Metazoa; Arthropoda; Arachnida; Ixodida; Ixodidae.
GGUAAAAUGACUGAAUUUAGGUGAUAAAUUGUAAAUUUAUUUAUGGAAAUUUCCUUUUGCUA